GGCGGCGUAGCUUAGUUGGCUAGAGCGUCCGGUUCAUACCCGGAAGGUCGAUGGUUCGAGUCCAUCCGCCGCUACCA
Molecule: transfer RNA, 77 nt
Filed under: Mogibacterium pumilum
Lineage: Bacteria; Bacillati; Bacillota; Clostridia; Peptostreptococcales; Anaerovoracaceae
Also listed under: 1 other name
Description: tRNA-Met
Rfam family: tRNA
About the family: Transfer RNA (tRNA) molecules are approximately 80 nucleotides in length. Their secondary structure includes four short double-helical elements and three loops (D, anti-codon, and T loops). Further hydrogen bonds mediate the characteristic L-shaped molecular structure. tRNAs have two regions of fundamental functional importance: the anti-codon, which is responsible for specific mRNA codon recognition, and the 3' end, to which the tRNAs corresponding amino acid is attached (by aminoacyl-tRNA synthetases). tRNAs cope with the degeneracy of the genetic code in two manners: having more than one tRNA (with a specific anti-codon) for a particular amino acid; and 'wobble' base-pairing, i.e. permitting non-standard base-pairing at the 3rd anti-codon position.
Source: RNAcentral